Molecule: ribosomal RNA, 2672 nt
Filed under: Salmonella enterica subsp. enterica serovar Enteritidis
Lineage: Bacteria; Pseudomonadati; Pseudomonadota; Gammaproteobacteria; Enterobacterales; Enterobacteriaceae
Description: partial 23S ribosomal RNA
Rfam family: Bacterial large subunit ribosomal RNA
Source: RNAcentral
AAUCCAUAGGUUAAUGAGGCGAACCGGGGGAACUGAAACAUCUAAGUACCCCGAGGAAAAGAAAUCAACCGAGAUUCCCCCAGUAGCGGCGAGCGAACGGGGAGGAGCCCAGAGCCUGAAUCAGCAUGUGUGUUAGUGGAAGCGUCUGGAAAGGCGCGCGAUACAGGGUGACAGCCCCGUACACAAAAGCGCAUGUGCUGUGAGCUCGAUGAGUAGGGCGGGACACGUGGUAUCCUGUCUGAAUAUGGGGGGACCAUCCUCCAAGGCUAAAUACUCCUGACUGACCGAUAGUGAACCAGUACCGUGAGGGAAAGGCGAAAAGAACCCCGGCGAGGGGAGUGAAAAAGAACCUGAAACCGUGUACGUACAAGCAGUGGGAGCACAGGUUUACCUGUGUGACUGCGUACCUUUUGUAUAAUGGGUCAGCGACUUAUAUUCUGUAGCAAGGUUAACCGAAUAGGGGAGCCGGAGGGAAACCGAGUCUUAAUUGGGCGUUAAGUUGCAGGGUAUAGACCCGAAACCCGGUGAUCUAGCCAUGGGCAGGUUGAAGGUUGGGUAACACUAACUGGAGGACCGAACCGACUAAUGUUGAAAAAUUAGCGGAUGACCUGUGGCUGGGGGUGAAAGGCCAAUCAAACCGGGAGAUAGCUGGUUCUCCCCGAAAGCUAUUUAGGUAGCGCCUCGUGAAUUCAUCUCCGGGGGUAGAGCACUGUUUCGGCUAGGGGGCCAUCCCGGCUUACCAACCCGAUGCAAACUGCGAAUACCGGAGAAUGUUAUCACGGGAGACACACGGCGGGUGCUAACGUCCGUCGUGAAGAGGGAAACAACCCAGACCGCCAGCUAAGGUCCCAAAGUCAUGGUUAAGUGGGAAACGAUGUGGGAAGGCCCAGACAGCCAGGAUGUUGGCUUAGAAGCAGCCAUCAUUUAAAGAAAGCGUAAUAGCUCACUGGUCGAGUCGGCCUGCGCGGAAGAUGUAACGGGGCUAAACCAUGCACCGAAGCUGCGGCAGCGACACUGUGUGUUGUUGGGUAGGGGAGCGUUCUGUAAGCCUGCGAAGGUGGCCUGUGAGGGUUGCUGGAGGUAUCAGAAGUGCGAAUGCUGACAUAAGUAACGAUAAAGCGGGUGAAAAGCCCGCUCGCCGGAAGACCAAGGGUUCCUGUCCAACGUUAAUCGGGGCAGGGUGAGUCGACCCCUAAGGCGAGGCCGAAAGGCGUAGUCGAUGGGAAACGGGUUAAUAUUCCCGUACUUGGUGUUACUGCGAAGGGGGGACGGAGAAGGCUAUGUUGGCCGGGCGACGGUUGUCCCGGUUUAAGCGUGUAGGUGUGUGUUCCAGGUAAAUCCGGUUCACUUUAACACUGAGGCGUGACGACGAGGCACUACGGUGCUGAAGCAACAAAUGCCCUGCUUCCAGGAAAAGCCUCUAAGCAUCAGGUAACAUCAAAUCGUACCCCAAACCGACACAGGUGGUCAGGUAGAGAAUACCAAGGCGCUUGAGAGAACUCGGGUGAAGGAACUAGGCAAAAUGGUGCCGUAACUUCGGGAGAAGGCACGCUGACACGUAGGUGAAGUGAUUUACUCAUGGAGCUGAAGUCAGUCGAAGAUACCAGCUGGCUGCAACUGUUUAUUAAAAACACAGCACUGUGCAAACACGAAAGUGGACGUAUACGGUGUGACGCCUGCCCGGUGCCGGAAGGUUAAUUGAUGGGGUCAGCGCAAGCGAAGCUCCUGAUCGAAGCCCCGGUAAACGGCGGCCGUAACUAUAACGGUCCUAAGGUAGCGAAAUUCCUUGUCGGGUAAGUUCCGACCUGCACGAAUGGCGUAAUGAUGGCCAGGCUGUCUCCACCCGAGACUCAGUGAAAUUGAACUCGCUGUGAAGAUGCAGUGUACCCGCGGCAAGACGGAAAGACCCCGUGAACCUUUACUAUAGCUUGACACUGAACAUUGAGCCUUGAUGUGUAGGAUAGGUGGGAGGCUUUGAAGUGUGGACGCCAGUCUGCAUGGAGCCGACCUUGAAAUACCACCCUUUAAUGUUUGAUGUUCUAACGUGGACCCGUUACCCGGGUUGCGGACAGUGUCUGGUGGGUAGUUUGACUGGGGCGGUCUCCUCCUAAAGAGUAACGGAGGAGCACGAAGGUUGGCUAAUCCUGGUCGGACAUCAGGAGGUUAGUGCAAUGGCAUAAGCCAGCUUGACUGCGAGCGUGACGGCGCGAGCAGGUGCGAAAGCAGGUCAUAGUGAUCCGGUGGUUCUGAAUGGAAGGGCCAUCGCUCAACGGAUAAAAGGUACUCCGGGGAUAACAGGCUGAUACCGCCCAAGAGUUCAUAUCGACGGCGGUGUUUGGCACCUCGAUGUCGGCUCAUCACAUCCUGGGGCUGAAGUAGGUCCCAAGGGUAUGGCUGUUCGCCAUUUAAAGUGGUACGCGAGCUGGGUUUAGAACGUCGUGAGACAGUUCGGUCCCUAUCUGCCGUGGGCGCUGGAGAACUGAGGGGGGCUGCUCCUAGUACGAGAGGACCGGAGUGGACGCAUCACUGGUGUUCGGGUUGUCAUGCCAAUGGCACUGCCCGGUAGCUAAAUGCGGAAGAGAUAAGUGCUGAAAGCAUCUAAGCACGAAACUUGCCCCGAGAUGAGUUCUCCCUGAGACUUAAAGUCUCCUGAAGGAACGUUGAAGACGACG